Molecule: non-coding RNA, 7395 nt
Organism: Rattus norvegicus (Norway rat)
Lineage: Eukaryota; Metazoa; Chordata; Mammalia; Rodentia; Muridae
Source: RefSeq, a predicted model, not a curated record
GCUCUGCAAACUGGCUUCCUCUUAGGCUCUGUCAAUGGAGGAUGCUGAGUGGGCCUGUUUAAAUCGGAGGCAGCGGGAAAGCACAAAAAUAACUGUGAGGAAAAGAGACGUAUCUCCUGGGCUCCUGGAAAUGUGAGGCUUGGCACUGCAGAGCUGGGUCGGGAGCACACAGAGGAGCACCGAUGUCAGCUGGGAGCCCAGGCGCACCCAGAGAAUCCUAGUUUCUGUGUCAAGUUGACAUCAGAGUAGCCAGCACGAUUAACACACCAGAGAAGAGGAUGAUAUGAACGUCUCCCAGAUGAGUAUUAAAACUUUGUAUUUCCCUUUGGAGGCGAGGAUCCAAUGCUCUUGUCUGAGGAGUGAAUGUUUGCUCUGUUUUGUUAGGCAGAGAGACAGCAAGAACACCCAAGAGAAGUCUGAAGACAAAAGCAAGCUACAUCGUGGUUUGGGAGAACGCUGCUGUAUUGAAGGCUUGGUCCCUAACGCAGCAGUGUUCAAAGAUGAGGCCUUUGGGAGGUGAUGGGGUCUUGAAUGGCUUCACCUCAUGACUAAAGUAACAUUGUUUAUGGACUCAUGGCUUCAUGGGUUUGAAGGAUCUGAUGGCUUCCUCUGGCCUCUGCAGGCACUACAUGCCUAUGGUGCACAGACAUACAUGCAUGCAGAAUACGGCACACAUAAAAUAAAAGUAAAGGUUAACUUUUUCUACUUCCUGGCCAGCAGAACAUGAGCAGUUUCGUUCUCUCACAUGUUUCCUCCCACAGUGUUCGGCCUCACCAUAGACCCAGUUGGUAGGGCCAAGUGAACAUGGGUUGAAACCUCUAAUGCUGUGAGUCAAAAUAUUUUCUCUUUGAGUCGAUUUUCUCUGAUAUUUUGAAACAGCAACGAAAAGCAGCCCAGGAGAGGAGGGUGCAAAUUCCCAUUGUGCCUACCCUGGUGCCUUGUAUUUUAUCCUUUCUCCCCCUCAGAAUUACCUCGGAUAUUUUUAGACAUGUCUUUACUCUUUCUUAUGAAUUUUGGGUUCUAUGAGUUGCACAUUAAAUCUUUGUUAAGUUUAGCUUUUUCAAAAUUAACCUUUACUUUUGUGUCAUGUGUGCCGCGUUCUGCAUGCAUGUAUGUCUGUGACCAUAGGCAUGUAGUGCCUGCAGAUGCCAGAACAAGGUAUCAGAUCCUUCAUAACUGGAGUUUGAGAUGGUUGUGAAGAAAGGCAGACUCUGUGAGUUUGAGGCGAGCCUAGUCUAUAUGGGGAGUUCCAGGUCGGCCAGGGCUAUGUAGAAAGACUCCGUCUCAGAAAACAACAACAACAACAAAACAACAACAAUGACAACAACAACAAGAAUUGAAUUUGAAGGUUUAUCCAGGUGGACAAAUGACAAGUGGCAACACUAUCGUUUGUUGAGUUUUGGAAGUUAAAUAUCUGAAGAGAAGUGCAAAUGACUGAGCACACAAAGCAAUGUGCUGUGCUAAUUAUUGUCUAGCUGCCCUCUCUUAGCUCCAAACCACCCGUGUCUACUCUGCAAGUCUCUGCCUUGCCAAAACAACUUCCCAUUCGUGAGCGGAUAGGAGGAGAGUGGAGAGCAAGACGGGGCUGGAUCCUUCCUUGGGGUUGUCUGAGUUUAUGAACAUCACCCCAAUCCUUCUUCACCCUGGCCACAGCGGAUGCCCCUGUGGGUUGUCUGAAGACGAUUGGCAGCUUUCCCAUUCUUUUUUUUUUUUUUUUUUUGGUUCUUUUUUUUUUUCGGAGCUGGGGACCGAAAGCUUUCCCAUUCUUGCAGACCAACCCCAUCCUGCUUCAGUUAAAGAUCAUAGUAAUAGAGCCGAGAAGCGCCCCUUCUUGGAGAUUGAGCUUCACUCCGCAGGGAUCCUUAGCUUGAGUGAUCAUUUAAACACCUUCCCUUGGUUCUCCCACCCCAAGCUCCUCGAAUCGCUGCCUCCGAUACUUUGAUAUCCUUUUCUCGCCUGCGUGCAUCAUCUAUCCAGGCUCAAAGCCGUGCAGCGGAUAUGUCUGUCUGCGCAUGCUCGAGGCUCAGCCAGUGUUUCUAUCAUUUUUAUUGAUAUAGAUAAGGAACCUAGCCCGCAAAGCAAUUAAGUCACCUUCCGUUGGUCACAGAGCUGGUGACAGUCAGACUUUCAGAGAUAUAAUAGGUAAUCCAUUUUUCAUAUGAUUCAGUUUCCUGUUGUAGUCAUACUCUGCGGGCACCUGAAUGGACCAAGCCUUUAGUCUAGCAUGUUGUUUCAGAGGCAGUACGUUUUGCACUGUGGUAUUCUGCUUUAUGGGGAAGGAAGAAUGGACAAAGAAAAGAAGGGAGGGAGGCGGGGAGGGAGAGAGACAUUUGCAUAUUGUUGACUGGACUUUGGUGGCAAACAGAUCUUGAGUAAUAUCCCAGAAUUACCUUUUACUGCUUACAACUUGCACCAACCAAGUAGAUCACUCUGCCUUUGUUAGACUCCAUUUAUUCUCUGGUUAUCAGUGCAAUAUAAUUUUUUUUAAAAAGACAGGACAUCAAUUUGUGGUCAAUGACUGCCCUCUAGAGGCAACUUUGAAAUACUGCUCCAUAACUGUGUUCGAUACAAUCUCAGAACUGUCCAGUCCCAAAGCCAGCAGUUUCUGCAAGUCAAACAUCCCGACGGUUGAUAAUUAGUCAUCAGGGCCUCUGCACUCUUUGAAUGUCAGGUCCAUGCUUCUUCGUUGGGAUUAAUAAGAGUUAGAGGUCUGGAAAUAUUGGUCAGGUAGUAAAAUCCUGUCCUAAAAGCACAGGACCUGAGUUCACUCCCUAGAAACCAUGUUUUAAAAACAAAAACAAAAACAAAAACAGAAAAAGGUAUAUUUCAGGGCAUGGUGGCACACAACUUUAAUCCUAGCACUUCAGAGGCAAAGACAGAUCUCUCAGUCUGAGGUCAACUUGGUUUACAGAACUAGCUCCAUGAAAGUCAGGGCUACAUGGACAAACCCUGUCCUGAAAACCCAAAGCAAACUCAACCAACCAACCCCAACCAACCAGCCAACCAAUCAGCCAACCAACCAGCCAACCAACCAGCCAACCAACCAGCCAACCAACCAACCCCCAGCCAACCAAUCAGCCAACCAACCAGCCAACCAACCAACCAACCAACCAACCAAUCAGCCAACCAACCAGCCAACCAACCAACCAGCCAACCAGCCAACCAACCAGCUAACCAACCAGAUAUGAUGUUAAUCUAGCAGGGGGUGGGCAAAGACAGGCUGAGCUCUGGAAUUUACAGGCCGGCCAGCCUAGCCUAUUUGGUAAGCUCCAUGUCAGUGAGAGACCCUGUCUCAAAACUAAGUAGAUGGUGCCUGAGUAACAACACUGAGGCUGUCUUCUGAACACACACACACACACACACACACACACACACACACACACACACACACACACACACGGGGGCGUCCACACGUGAGUGAAUAUGCUCGUGCUUAAAUUUGCUAGUGUGGGUACAGAGGAGCCCCAAAGAACCAAGUCCUAUGAAAAUUUACCCACCACCAAUAACAACAGCCAUGCUUUAAAGAAACAGACUACCCCUGGGUUAUGCAAACUGCAAUAAGCAGCCAACUAAACAAACAAACAAACAAACAAACAGAAACUUAAAGGAAUAUGACCCAAUGCAUCUUAUUAGGCUAAAAUCGGUCAACACUUCUUCCUAAACUUACAUGAGUUUGGGAGACUAGAGAGAUAGGGCAGUGUCUAAGAGCCCUUAUCUCUCCCGCAGAGGACCCAACUGCAAUUCUCAGCGUCUGUGUUUGGCGGCUCACAAUUGCCUGUAACUCCAGGCAUCCUCCGACCUCCAAGGAUGCCUGUGAGCAUACUACGCACAGGUACACACAGUAUGUAUCUUCCCAUUUGGGAGUUUGGGAGUUUAGAAGGUAAGUGUGUUGGACUCCAUAACAAUGUGGUUCAGCUGGACUAGCUCCCCACAGACAAGUGUCCCAGUGACAAAAUGUAUUAAGUAGAUGCAUAGAAGUCUAAGGGUGUCCCAGAAGCCCACACUAGGUUUUAAUGCCCCACUGGUUUACUCAAAGUCUUUCUCUACCUCCAACAAACAAAUGCAUCUGUUUCUAAUUUUCAAAAAACAAUUAAUUUUGGAAUUACCGAUAAGGAAUUAAGACCUACACAACCAAUGCCCAACUAACCCAGGAUGGUCUGAGAAAAGAAAAUUCGAUCCAAAUUCAGCUGCAAAUAUAUUGGCAGAAAUACUAUAGAAAACACUUAAGAAAUAGGAUCUGGCACUGUAUAAAAUCAAUACAUUCUGGGGCAGGAGACGUGGUUCAGUUUACAAAGUGUUUACCACACCAGUGUGAGGACCUGAGUCUGGGGUCCCAGAGCCCAUGUAAAAACCCUGGUGCAGUGUCUUUGAGCACCUGUCACUCCGAUGGAGGUGGAGACAGGAGGAUUCCUGGCUCUCACUAGCCAGCUAGCCCAGCAAAGUCAACCAGCUCCAUGAUCAGUGAGAGACCUGCUGUCGACCUCUGGCUUCCACAUGCAUGUACACACCCCACACACGUACACCCAAAUAAUGUAUACACGGACAAAUACACAAAUACCCCCACACAUGCACACACACACACACACACACACACACACACACACACACACACACACUCAGAUCAUUGGAAUGGAUUACAGCCUCAUAGUGAGAUUCGGCUUCAAGCUCACUGCCGGCCCCAAGAGACACGAGAGAUGAGACAUUUCCGUCUCCGAGAGAGACCCAGCAGCUGUCCAAGACUCAGGUCCUGCUGCCUCUGUAUCCACGGGGAACAUGCAGCUGCUGCGGACAGCAGGGCUUGGGGAUCACCCUGGCUCAUAGCACUAGCCUGCAUCCCUCACGGUUCCCUACAGUUCUAGCUGUACGAGCAGAUGGCCUGCCCGCCCACCGGCAACACCUCCAAGCCCACACAGCAAGGGCUGCAUACACAAUGCCCCAUUUGUCUUCCCUUUGCUUUGCGGUCUCCAAGGAAACAGUAGAGUUGAAGUCCAAGGUCAGUGCCGCUCAAGCUUGCAGACUGAUACUCAUUUUUCCCUUUAUUUGCAAAUGGACAAUUUAAAGUUAGGAAACUGGAAAUCUGUCACUCUGGAUGACAAUUAGAUGGUAAAGGGGGAGAAAUGACAUGAGUUUUUAGAUACAGAAGUAGCACUAAAAAAGUUAAACAUUGGGUUGGGGAUUUAGCUCAGUGGUAGAGCGCUUGCAUAGCAAGUGCAAGGCCCUGGGUUCGGUCCCCAGCUCCGAAAAAAAGAAAAGAAAAGAAAAGAAAGUUAAACAUUGUUGUUAUUAUUAUUAUUAAUUAUUGUUGUUGUUUUAGUUGUUAGCAAGGGCUGGAGAGAUGGCUCAAUUCUUAAGAGCAUUUGCUACUCUUGCAGAGGACCUGGGUUUGGUUCACGGCACAGCAGGGCUGGAGAGAUGGCUCAGUGGUUAAGAGCACCGACUGCUCUUCCUGAGGUCCUGAGUUCAAAUCCCAGCACAUGGUGGCUCAGAACCAUCUGUAAUGGGAUCCGAUGCCCUCUUCUGGUGUGUCUGAAGACAGCUACUUUGUACUCAUAUACAAUAAAUCUUUUUAAAAAAUUUUUAAAAAUCCUUAAAAAAAAAACUUGACAGCAAAUUAAAAAUGGAAGGCAGGGACCAGUCAUAGUAGCAUGUCCUCUAAUUCCAGCACUCAAGAGGCAGAAGCCAGUAGACAUCUGUGACUUGAAGACCAGCCCAGUCUACAAAGUUAAUUCCAGGACAGCCAGGGCUACAUGGUGAGAUGCUGUCUCAAAAAAACAAAAAACAAAACAAAACAAAACAAAACAAAACAAAACAAAACAAAAAAAAACCAAAGCCAAGCAGACAAACCAACGAACGAGUCACACUGUCUCCCCAAGCAGAUGACACGCCUGCCAACUCAGAAAAGCCCAGAGACAAACUACUUGAACUAAUAGGAGAGUUCCACAGAACGGCUAAGAAUGGGUUUGACAGCAAUAGACAAAUCUGGUAUAUCAGUAUUUAAAAGAAUGAAAGCCAGAAGGCGUGAUGAGUGAAAGACUCUGGCCCAGAGCUCACCAAGCAGACCAGGCUAGCCCCAGGGAUCCGCCUCCCAGUGCUUGGAUUGUAAGCAUGUAGCACAGGCCUGGCCUUCUUCACAGGGGUACCAGCAGCAGACUGAGUCCUCAUGCUUGUAACAAGCACUUUACCGCAGAGCUGCUCCCGGGCUGACAGGUUUCUUUCUCUUUUCUUUUGUUCUCUUAUUUGACUGUGCACACAUGAAUGCUGCUGUGCACAUGUGGAGGUUAGAGGACAACCUUCAAGAAUUGAUUCUUUCCUUCCACCAUGUCAUUCCAGGGAUCAGGUUGUCAGGAUUGGAAGUGAUUGCACUUACCCACGAAUCAUUCUGCCAUCUUAACAUUGUUAAGGGCUGGGCGGGUAUGUAACAUUUUAUAUUUUACUUUUUCAGGAUGUUAAACUGUCAGUCUGACAUGUUUUCUACCCUAGAGCUGCCAUUCAAUUGCCUGUAACAGGGACACCUGAUAGCCACCUUUCCAGAUCUUGACUUAAACGCUAGUUGUCGAACACAGAGCAGUCCAACCCCAGUUAAAAACAGAUAUCAGGCUGGAUAAAAUGUAGCAAGUUUGCCUGCUAUAUCUGUGUUUUUUUGUUUUUGUUUGCUUUUGGAGACAAGGUUUUUCUGUGUAGCCCUGACUGUUCUUGGAAGUCACACGGUAGACCAGGCUGGCCUGGAACUCAGGGACAUCCACAUGCCUCUGCCUCCUGAGCGCUGGCAUUAAAAGCCUAUGGCACCACUGUCCAACUAUACUUGUAUUUCUUAACAUCUCCUUUGAGUUAUUGUUAUUCCUAUAUCUGUUCUAUCUAUAUAUUCCAAAACUUUAUUGUGUACCGUGUUAGGACAAGGGCUUUGCACAUGCUGGGCAAAUAUAUUGAUUUGUACCUUCUAGCUAGACAUGUUUCCAAUUGUGGUAAAGCAUAUCUAAUAUAUAAAUUGCCAUAUUAACUAUUUUAAAGUGCAAGAUUUAGGGGCUGCAGAGAUGUCACAGUGGUUAAGGGUCUAGUUGCUCUUGGAGGACCUUGGUUUGAUUCCUAGUACCCACUCAGCCACUUGACCAUCUUUAACUCCAAUUCCAGGGACUCGGGGUGAUGUCAUUUUGCAGGUGAAGGCAGGUACAAGACAGAACCAGGCCUGUUAUUGGACAAGAAGGAAGGAUGGGCAGGAGAAAAGUUUUAGAGAGGAGAGGAGACUGGAACAAGGGAGGAGAGGAAGCAGCUGAGAGAACAUGGGGGCAGAUGUUAAGAUUCCUCUCUGCACAUUUACAGGUUGUUAUGAAUGUUCUUAAGGGAUGGACGUGUACAGGGCUUUGCAUGUUUAGGUGGGCAAUUAUAUCUUAUCUAUUG